GACGAACCGAGCGAACGUUGUUCGGAAUCACUGGGCUUAAAGGGCGCGUAGGCGGGCCUGAAAGUCAAGGGUGAAAGCCCCCGGCUCAACCGGGGAAGUGCCCCUGAUACUUCAGGCCUCGAGGGAGGUAGGGGCGUGCGGAACUUCCGGUGGAGCGGUGAAAUGCGUAGAUAUCGGAAGGAACGCCGGUGGCGAAAGCGAGCUGCUGGAUCCCUCCUGACGCUGAGGCGCGAAAGCCAGGGGAGCGAACGGG
This 253-nucleotide ribosomal RNA is filed under the name uncultured bacterium. RNAcentral's name for it is "partial 16S ribosomal RNA". It matches the Rfam family "Bacterial small subunit ribosomal RNA", at positions 524 to 776 of the family's 1533-position model. The record is from RNAcentral.